Streptococcus dysgalactiae subsp. dysgalactiae ATCC 27957 is the source of this 110-nucleotide non-coding RNA. Lineage: Bacteria; Bacillati; Bacillota; Bacilli; Lactobacillales; Streptococcaceae. The record is from Rfam.
AAUGAUAGUUUAGUCGCUUUUCAUUAUAGGUCAUAUGGGACUUUUUGUCUGCACUCAAAAAGCCCUAUAACCUCUGUGUCGGAUUUACCAACUACAGAUAUUAUAGAGCC